AUGCGGCGGCGGCGGCUCCUCCCGGCCUCCCGCCCGCCCUGGCGGCCCCCGGGGGCCUUGGGACCGAGCCCUGCGUGGGAAGCGCGCUGAGGAGGGGAAAGCGGACCGCGAGUCUCAGCCCUCGCAGACUGUCCUCAGUUGACCCGGCAGAGAGGAACUGGGCCCAAUCGGGAGGCAAACACAGGGCUUUCAGGACUCACCAGGAAAGGGAUACAGCGAGACUAAAGCACCCUUUCAAAUUGGGAAGGUGCUACUGAGCAUCUUAUCUGGCGCCUUACUAAAGAGCAGGUAUUAUGUGUGACUGUGAUGGGCUCUCGGUAUGCCAGAAUCCUGUUCUCACUGAGCUAUGGUCUUGUUCUGGCAAUAACAACAACAAUGGCAGCUAACGUGUAUGAACAUUUCUUAUGUAUGAAGCACCAUCCCCACCCCCAAAGAUUACUAGUAAGAACAAAUGAACAAGAACAAAGGCACGACAUCCUCUCCUUACCAAUGGGAUCCACC
Long non-coding RNA from Hipposideros armiger (great roundleaf bat), 501 nucleotides. RefSeq lists it as uncharacterized. The transcript is spliced from 4 exons. Lineage: Eukaryota; Metazoa; Chordata; Mammalia; Chiroptera; Hipposideridae. The record is from RefSeq and is a predicted model, not a curated record.